GACGAACGCUGGCGGCGUGCCUAAUACAUGCCAGUCGAACGAGAGCGACCGGUGCUUGCACUGGUCAAUCUAGUGGCGAACGGGUGAGUAACACGUGGGUAACCUGCCCAUCAGAGGGGGAUAACAUCCGGAAACGGAUGCUAAAACCGCAUAGGUCUUCGAACCGCAUGGUUUGAAGAGGAAAAGAGGCGCAAGCUUCUGCUGAUGGAUGGACCCGCGGUGCAUUAGCUAGUUGGUGAGGUAACGGCUCACCAAGGCCGUGAUGCAUAGCCGACCUGAGAGGGUGAACGGCCACAUUGGGAUUGGGAACCGGCCAAAACCCUACAGGGAGGCAGCAUGGGGGUAUCUUGCGCAAGGGCAGCAAGUCUGACGGAGAAACGCGGGGGGAGUGAAGAAGGUUUUCGGAUCGUAAAACUUUGUUGUUAGAGAAAAACAAGUGCAGGGGUAACUGUUCGCGCCUUGACGGUAUCAAACCAGAAAGCCACGGCGAACUACUG
Molecule: ribosomal RNA, 497 nt
Filed under: uncultured bacterium
Lineage: Bacteria
Description: partial 16S ribosomal RNA
Rfam family: Bacterial small subunit ribosomal RNA
Source: RNAcentral